AUUGUUGUGGCCGAGAGGUUGAGGCGAUGGACUUGAAAUCCAUUGGGGUCUCCCUGCGCAGGUUCUAGUCCUGUCAACAACG
Molecule: transfer RNA, 82 nt
Filed under: Poecilia formosa (Amazon molly)
Lineage: Eukaryota; Metazoa; Chordata; Actinopteri; Cyprinodontiformes; Poeciliidae
Rfam family: tRNA
About the family: Transfer RNA (tRNA) molecules are approximately 80 nucleotides in length. Their secondary structure includes four short double-helical elements and three loops (D, anti-codon, and T loops).
Source: Rfam by way of RNAcentral